CCUACGGGGGGCAGCAGUGGGGGAUAUUGCACAAUGGGGGAAACCCUGAAGCAGCAACGCCGCGUGGGUGAUGAAGGUCCUCGGAGUGUAAACUCCUUUUAUUAGGGAAGAAAAUGACGGUACCUGACGAAGAAGCACCGGCUAACUACGUGCCAGCAGCCGCGGUAAUACGUAGGGUGCAAGCGUUACUCGGAUUUACUGGGCGUAAAGGGGGCGUAGGCGGGGUAGCAAGACAGGUGUGAAAGCCUGGGGCCGAACCAUGGGACUGCUGUUGAAACUGCUAUUCUAGAGUGUGGGAGGGGCAGGUGGAAGUCUUGGUGUAGGGGUGAAAUGCGUAGAGAUCAAGAGGAACACCGAUUGCGAAGGCGGCCUGCUGGACCAUAACUGACGUUGAGGCGCGAAAGCGUGGGGAGCAAACAGGAUUAGAUACCCCGGUAGUC
This 440-nucleotide ribosomal RNA is filed under the name uncultured bacterium. RNAcentral describes it as "partial 16S ribosomal RNA". It matches the Rfam family "Bacterial small subunit ribosomal RNA", at positions 338 to 795 of the family's 1533-position model. The record is from RNAcentral.